CUACCACUGGGUAUCCAUCAUCAUUUGCUGGGCAUCUGAUGAGUACAGCCAUGUCUGUUGGGCAUCUAUAGUCUUCUAUCAGGCAUUGUGGUCUCUGCUGACUCUCUUGUCAUUUCACCAUCAUCACCAUCCAUGAGAA
RNAcentral lists this microRNA precursor (139 nucleotides) under Mus pahari (shrew mouse). RNAcentral describes it as "microRNA 1911 (MGP_PahariEiJ_G0007907.1)". Lineage: Eukaryota; Metazoa; Chordata; Mammalia; Rodentia; Muridae. The record is from RNAcentral.